RNAcentral lists this transfer RNA (84 nucleotides) under Natronomonas sp. CBA1123. It matches the Rfam family "tRNA". Rfam says of the family: Transfer RNA (tRNA) molecules are approximately 80 nucleotides in length. Their secondary structure includes four short double-helical elements and three loops (D, anti-codon, and T loops). The record is from Rfam by way of RNAcentral. Lineage: Archaea; Methanobacteriati; Methanobacteriota; Halobacteria; Halobacteriales; Natronomonadaceae.
GGUGGGAUGGCAGAGUGGACUAUUGCGCCGGUCUUGAGAACCGGUCCCCGAGAGGGCUCCUGGGUUCGAAUCCCAGUCCCACCG